GUGUAGGGGUAAAAUCCGUAGAGAUCAGAAGGAAUACCGAUUGCGAAGGCGAUCUACUGGAACAUUACUGACGCUCAGAUGCGAAAGCGUGGGGAGCAAACAGGAUUAGAUACCCUGGUAGUCCACGCCCUAAACGAUGUACACUAGUUGUUGCUAUACUAGAUAUGGCAGUAAUGCAGUUAACACUUUAAGUGUACCGCCUGGGGAGUACGGUCGCAAGAUUAAAACUCAAAGGAAUAGACGGGGACCCGCACAAGCGGUGGAGCAUGUGGUUUAAUUCGACGAUACGCGAAAAACCUUACCUGGCCUUGACAUAGUAGGAAUCUUUAAGAGAUUAGAGAGUGCUAGCUUGCUAGAACCUACAUACAGGUGCUGCACGGCUGUCGUCAGCUCGUGUCGUGAGAUGUUGGGUUAAGUCCCGCAACGAGCGCAACCCACGUGAUUAGUUGCUAACGGUUCGGCCGAGAACUCUAAUCAGACUGCCUUCGUAAGGAGGAGGAAGGUGUGGACGACGUCAAGUCAUCAUGGCCCUUACGGCCAGGGCUACACACGUGCUACAAUGGGAUAUACAAAGAGUCGCAAUACCGCGAGGUGGAGCAAAUCUAGAAAAUAUCUCCCAGUUCGGAUUGUUCUCUGCAACUCGAGAACAUGAAGUUGGAAUCGCUAGUAAUCGUGGAUCAGCAUUGCCACGGUGAAUACGUUCCCGGGUCUUGUACUCACCGCCCGUCACACCAUGGGAGUUGAUUUCAUUCGAAGCGGGGAUGCUAAAGUAGCUACCUUCCACAAUGGGAUUAGCGACUGGGGUGAAGUCGUAACAAGGUAACC
Molecule: ribosomal RNA, 825 nt
Filed under: uncultured bacterium
Lineage: Bacteria
Description: bacterial SSU rRNA
Rfam family: Bacterial small subunit ribosomal RNA
Source: RNAcentral